This is a long non-coding RNA of Oreochromis aureus, 229 nucleotides long. RefSeq lists it as uncharacterized. The record is from RefSeq and is a predicted model, not a curated record. The transcript is spliced from 3 exons. Lineage: Eukaryota; Metazoa; Chordata; Actinopteri; Cichliformes; Cichlidae.
AAAAGAGGUGAGUUGUUUGUUGCUGUGGUAAACAAAGAAGUGUACUGAAUCUUUUGGACUACACAGAUUGAUGUAGUAUUGAUUGUGAUGCUGAUCUGAGUUGUCUCAUUCUGUAUUUUUGUGCUUUGUCUUUUGUUACACAGAGUGAACGAGAUCUUUGGUUUUGCCUUUGCUGACUGCUGAUCUGAUCGUCUCAAGUCUGGUGACCUGCUGCAGAAAACCCUCUCCC